RNAcentral lists this transfer RNA (74 nucleotides) under Chloroidium sp. KL-2023a. Its description in RNAcentral is "tRNA-Arg". It matches the Rfam family "tRNA". From Rfam's summary of the family: Transfer RNA (tRNA) molecules are approximately 80 nucleotides in length. Lineage: Eukaryota; Viridiplantae; Chlorophyta; Trebouxiophyceae; Watanabeales; Watanabeaceae. The record is from RNAcentral.
GGGCUUGUAGCUCAGUGGACUAGAGCACAUGGCUACGAACCAUGGGGUCGGGGGUUCGAAUCCCUCCUAGCUCA